This is a long non-coding RNA of Oxyura jamaicensis (ruddy duck), 224 nucleotides long. RefSeq lists it as uncharacterized. The record is from RefSeq and is a predicted model, not a curated record. Lineage: Eukaryota; Metazoa; Chordata; Aves; Anseriformes; Anatidae. The transcript has 4 exons.
CAUUGUACCUUUCAACCUUCCCAGAGGCUUGUGGGUGAUAUGGGAUGUGAUACAUCCACUCAAUACCACGCCUCUUGGCCCAGGAGGUGACCAAAUUGUUUCGGAAAUGACUCCCAUUGUCAGACUCAAUUCUUUCUGGUGUACCAUGACGCCACAGCACUUGCCUUUCUAGGCCCAAGAUGGUGUUUCGGGCCGUGGCAUGUUUUACUGGAUAUGUUUUCAGA